GGGGUUGUGGCUCAAUGGUAGAGCUCUUUCUUCGAAAGUAUGAUGCACUGGGUUUGAUCCUCAGCACCACA
RNAcentral lists this transfer RNA (71 nucleotides) under Marmota monax (woodchuck). RNAcentral's name for it is "tRNA.Ser". It matches the Rfam family "tRNA". From Rfam's summary of the family: Transfer RNA (tRNA) molecules are approximately 80 nucleotides in length. The record is from RNAcentral. Lineage: Eukaryota; Metazoa; Chordata; Mammalia; Rodentia; Sciuridae.